Long non-coding RNA from Mauremys reevesii (Reeves's turtle), 1305 nucleotides. RefSeq lists it as uncharacterized. The record is from RefSeq and is a predicted model, not a curated record. NCBI's taxonomy places the organism in Eukaryota, Metazoa, Chordata, Testudines, Geoemydidae. The transcript is spliced from 3 exons.
AGAAUGGAGCACAGAGAGCUGGGGAAAUGGUGUACUCUUUCAUGAAUGCCCCUGAUGAGAAACCAUUCUGAUCUUAAAAUGGUGUGCUGUGUGUUGGACAAGGUAUGGGAGCAUUAAAGCAUCCCUGGAACUGACGAGAGGAUGCCUUUAGCCACUAAGUUGUCACCUCUCUGGCCACUUGGAGUGUUUCAAAGGAAGACAGGACUGUCUGUAUGUUCUUUGCAAAUAAACAGGAUUGUACCAAAGAAAAUACGAGAGAAAUUAUGAACUAAUACUCCUGUUGAACCAAAAUGGAACAAAUGGUGGAGAUGCUUGCAGAAAUCAAAGAUGACCAAAAGAGCUUCAAAUAAAGACUUCACAGAAGGAAUCUAAGCAACAUCUGAAGGCUUCCCAGAAAGGAUUUAGACCACCAGUGGUCAGAGAUAAAAUCUUUGUUGGGGCAGCAGCCAGAAAGUGUUCAGACAGAUUUGGAAGUCAUACUACAAAAUUUCCAGUGCAGACAGGCAAGAUGGACUGAUGAGGUGACCAACAACAGACUAUCAUGGACCAAAAGAUGUUCCACGUAAUAGGGGAGACCAAGAAAUAUCUGCUCAACUUGGUGCUUGUAAAUAGAGACAGCUGCAACAAGGACUUUAGGGAGCUAAAAAAUCACCUGGAGAAGGAGCUCAAAGGACUGCAUACUAUAUUGGAAAUUAGCAGUCUGGAUUAGGAAUUGGGCCAGACUGAGAAUUUGGGUAAAACAGGAUAUUUACAACAGUUUUAUACCCUUUUUCUAACCCAGAGAGGUUAGAUUGUUCAAGCUCAGGCAAUACAAAAGCCAUUGGGGGCGGGGACGACAAGGAUAUGGUACAAGCUCUUGAUAUGCAGCUAAAAUCUAGCUAUCAAUCUGAGCUGAGCAAGGCACAGCUAAGGGCUAGAAGAAGAGGGAAAGAACAGACCCCACCUCAACUGGAAUAGGACAUGAAGAGUUGUGCCUGGUAUAUCCAGAUACCAGUGAGGACUAAGAUUUCCAAGCUAAAUUAACAAUGGACCAAAUUACAGAUCUGCAGCUUGGCUUAGAUUUUCAGCUCAAGAUCAUUGAAAGGAGGCCAAGAAUGCUUUCUGUGACUGAGGAAUUUGCCGCAGAACUUCAAUUUUUCCUUGCAGGAGCCCACCAGAAAAGGAAGCAAUUGCUAUUGAGGAAGAUGGAAACUGAUCACCAUGAGCCCUAUUCUCAUGGAGCACUCCAGUGAGGCCUCAGCAGUGUCAAGUUAGGACAGUGCCAAAGAUUACCUCCUGUGUCUUACAUCUGUUAAUACGUCCCAG